CCUACGGGAGGCAGCAGUGAGGAAUAUUGGUCAAUGGGCGUAAGCCUGAACCAGCCAAGUCGCGUGAGGGACGAUGGCCCUACGGGUUGUAAACCUCUUUUGCCGGGGGACAAACGGCGGCACGCGUGCCGUCCUGAGGGUACCCGGAGAAAAAGCAUCGGCUAACUCCGUGCCAGCAGCCGCGGUAAUACGGAGGAUGCGAGCGUUAUCCGGAUUUAUUGGGUUUAAAGGGUGCGUAGGCGGGAUGCCUAGUCAGCGGUCAAAUACGGGGGCUCAACCUGCGUCCGCCGUUGAAACUGGCGUUCUUGAGUGGGCGAGAAGUACGCGGAAUUCGUGGUGUAGCGGUGAAAUGCUUAGAUAGCACGAAGAACCCCGAUUGCGAAGGCAGCUUACUAAACUGUGACUGACAUUGAUGCUCGAAAGUGUGGGUAUCAAACAGGAUUAGAUACCCGGGUAGUC
Molecule: ribosomal RNA, 459 nt
Filed under: uncultured bacterium
Lineage: Bacteria
Description: partial 16S ribosomal RNA
Rfam family: Bacterial small subunit ribosomal RNA
Source: RNAcentral